AUUGAACGCUGGCGGCAGGCCUAACACAUGCAAGUCGAGCGGUAACACAGAGGAGCUUGCUCCUUGGGUGACGAGCGGCGGACGGGUGAGUAAUGCCUGGGGAUCUGCCCGAUAGAGGGGGAUAACUACGGGAAACUGUAGCUAAUACCGCAUAAUGUCUACGGACCAAAGUGGGGGAUCUUCGGACCUCAUGCUAUCGGAUGAACCCAGGUGGGAUUAGCUAGUUGGUGAGGUAAUGGCUCACCAAGGCGACGAUCUCUAACUGGUUUGAGAGAAUGACCAGUCACACUGGAACUGAGACACGGUCCAGACUCCUACGGGAGGCAGCAGUGGGGAAUAUUGCACAAUGGGCGCAAGCCUGAUGCAGCCAUGCCGCGUGUGUGAAGAAGGCCUUCGGGUUGUAAAGCACUUUCAGCGGGGAGGAAGGGUCACUAGUUAAUACCUAGUGGCAUUGACGUUACUCGCAGAAGAAGCACCGGCUAACUCCGUGCCAGCAGCCGCGGUAAUACGGAGGGUGCAAGCGUUAAUCGGAAUUACUGGGCGUAAAGCGCACGCAGGCGGUUUGUUAAGUCAGAUGUGAAAUCCCCGAGCUCAACUUGGGAACUGCAUUUGAAACUGGCAAGCUAGAGUCUUGUAGAGGGGGGUAGAAUUCCAGGUGUAGCGGUGAAAUGCGUANAGAUCUGGAGGAAUA
This 691-nucleotide ribosomal RNA is filed under the name uncultured prokaryote. RNAcentral's name for it is "bacterial SSU rRNA". It matches the Rfam family "Bacterial small subunit ribosomal RNA", at positions 28 to 708 of the family's 1533-position model. The record is from RNAcentral.